UCCAACACAUCAAUCACAUCUUAUAUCGAGUCCUCUUCUCCGCCUCCUGUCGAAAAUGAGCUCCCCGAUCCGCCGCCUCCGGAGUGCUCCGCCAAUCCGCAGCCUUCGGCAGGCGCUGUUGUCGAUAAAAAGCAGCGGCUUUUCGACCUGAUGGGCGACGCCCUCGCAGAGCGCUUCGUCAUGGGAGGGUCGCGGUGGUCCAAGCCCUGGAGGCCAAGAUGGGCGCCCCCCGGACGCACCCCAACCCUAGGGUCUGCAUCUCUUCUGCCUCCUCCCGCAUCGACGGCUACCGUGCCCCCUCCGGCGACCUCGCUGCCCUCCAGCGCAGACAACAGCGUGGCGGAUGCCACCAAGAGCCGGAGGAAGCUGCGGAGGACUUGGAUUCGUCGGCGUGUUCAAGGACCGAUGUGACCCGGGCUGGAAAUCAGAGAAGCUCAUCCUUAGAAAGGGAGCUACGUGGAAAGUCCGGGGCAAAAAGGUGAGGACUCUGAGCAGAAAGAAGACGAAACUGGAUCUUGUGGCAAAAUUGGUGAACGAGAAAGAGAAGGAACAGCCUCUCGCUGAUCCAAAAGACCUCGCAGAGGACGAGCUUUUAGCAUCGCUUGUUGAAUUGUGCUUUCAAUUCUCUCGGUGAGUUUAGGCUGUUGACGAGAGGGAUGCUUCUGAAAAGAAAGGUGAUCGGUUUCCAAUCUCCAUGAGAAGGCAAGUCUGCUUGGGUCGGUCCAACUUGUGCAUAAACUUUCGAGAUCACCACACUCGCAAACAUCUAGAGACUCUGCUUUCCAUCUAAGUGUAGCUGAAAAAAUGGUGUAUCCUGCCCUAAAGUUUCAACAAAAGGAAGAUUCGACUACAAAAAAUCGGAAGCAGUUUGCGAUCAUUCAAUCGGGAAAAGGUGCCUUCUCCAAAUGUUUGUUACUGAGAUGCUGACUGCUCUUUGCAGGACACGGAUAACCUCCUUCGGUUGGCUCUUAUUUUUCGGUCACGAUUGUGGUCUAGGACAAGGAUAUCUGCUUAUUUUCUGGUCGCGAUCUAGGACAAGGAUAUCCGCUCCUAGAUGCUUGCAAAUGAAUCAAGAAUGGUCUCAUUUUUCGGUCGCGAUUGUGGUAAUCUUUUACGAUUUCCUUGUCACAAAAGUCGACAAAAUCUUGAAAGCUAAGAUGAUUUAUGCUCGUUUCAGGAAAAUUUGCCUAAAUAAACCCAUAUUCAGUGUCGGAAAUACUAGGUUUGAUCGUCUCCUUUUGCUGCAGUCCAUGCUGUUCCACAUCUUACAUUGCUUCUUUUCCAGAUGGUUGCGGCUUCCAACCUCAUUGGACCAGUAUCUUUUCUCAGCACUGGUCUACGAUUGCAGGAGGACCCCAUGGAUCCAUCGCUUGCCGGUGUUACUUUCUACAUUAUUAGUCUUCCUUUGUCUACACUUUUGAGAUGUUACUUUCUACAUUAUUAUUCUUCCUUUGUUUACGCUUUUGAGACUAAACAUAGCUUCGGAAAAGAAACCGGUGGAAAGCAUAUGAGAUGUUGAUCGUCACAGCUUGGCAGAGACCAAGGCGACUCCAACGCCAAUGGUGGAUAGAGCAUUAGGAAAAGAGAUAUUACUCGAGAGAGUAUCUUUAAAGUAGUGAUUCUCCAGCUUUCUUUGUUGAGGAUUGUUCUCCACCACACAGCAUGUUUGUGUGUGGGGUGAAGCGGAGGAAAAAGCUUUGUCGUGACAAUCUGUUCUCUCUAUCAGGUUUCUUCUGAUGACAAUACAAUUCGAAUGCUCUGCUAAUUCUUCUCUUUAUCUCGUCUUAGGUAAAACAUAUCUUAUAGCAGUGAAGACAGGAUUCGAAUUCCAAAUCUUACCAUAAGCUAUGUCACAGAUGUCCAAGAAAAGCUCUCUCUCUCUCUCUCAAGGCAUGGCCUCCUGGUCCUUAGCCACCGAUGACCGGACGAGCGAAGCCCUGCAGAGCGGGCAGUUCGCCUGCGCCCGUAACCAUUCAUCAACGCACUCCGGAUGGAAGCCGUGGUCGCAACCCGGCAACACCUUGAUCUUAUCCCCUUCCAUGAAGCAACUGAGGCAUAUGGAGCACUGCGACGCCUCGUCGCCGGUCCCUGGCGCUCGGUGUAGGUGCACCGGGAAGCUGCCGAUGGUGUCUGGGUCCAGACCGGCCUUACAAGGCGACAUCGCGGCAGAAGGCAGGCUCGCUGAGCCCGUUUCAGCCGCCCACCGGCGGUAGCGACAUGCCCACCAAAGGUACAAGCAGAGGAGGGCCAAGGAUAGGAGAGCGGAGAAGGAGAGGAGGAGGAGGCCGCGGCCGUGGACGUGGAAGUUGUUGUCGUCGAGCAUGUCGUAGUGCCAGCGGAAGGGCUGAGCAUUCUGGGCUUCCAUGCAAGCAGACGGCGAGGCGGCUAUACGAGGGCAGGGAGAGUGGUCCGGGAGGAGAAGCGGUGAGAGCUGCGAACAAAGAGACUUCAGCUCAUACUCUCUCUCUCUCUCUCUCUCCACAUCACGCCCUUUUUCAACACCCUCCUGAAAGCUUAUCUCAUCGAAACGUCACAAGGCAGAACGAAAAGCUCAUCAAUGCGCUGUUGCUGCUACUGCUGCCAUUGUGGUUGGGGUAUGGUUCCUUUCAGGUGUUGCUGCACACAGAAAUAAGAGAGAUGCCGCCUGCGCUGUGCGGAGGAUGGUAAAGUGGAUGGUUUUGAAGGAGUUGAUGGUUUCGGAAUUGGUUCGAACUCUCGGUGUCUUGUGGAUUUGUGGUUAAUUAGAGAUUGAUGGAUUCGUGUAA
Long non-coding RNA from Musa acuminata AAA Group (dessert banana), 2765 nucleotides. RefSeq lists it as uncharacterized. The record is from RefSeq and is a predicted model, not a curated record. Lineage: Eukaryota; Viridiplantae; Streptophyta; Magnoliopsida; Zingiberales; Musaceae. The transcript is spliced from 3 exons.